RNAcentral lists this ribosomal RNA (253 nucleotides) under uncultured bacterium. RNAcentral describes it as "partial 16S ribosomal RNA". It matches the Rfam family "Bacterial small subunit ribosomal RNA", at positions 524 to 776 of the family's 1533-position model. The record is from RNAcentral.
UACAGGGGGUGCAAACGUUGCUCGGAAUUAUUGGGCGUAAAGCGCACGUAGGCGGUUUGUUAUGUCGGAUGUGAAAGCCCUUGGCUCAACUGAGGAAGUGCAUCCGAAACUGGCAAGCUAGAGUAUGUAAGAGGGUCGCGGAAUUCCCGGUGUAGAGGUGAAAUUCGUAGAUAUCGGGAGGAACACCGGUGGCGAAGGCGGCGACCUGGGACAAUACUGACGCUGAGGCGCGAAAGCUAGGGGAGCAAACGGG